Artibeus jamaicensis (Jamaican fruit-eating bat) is the source of this 104-nucleotide small nuclear RNA. The record is from RefSeq and is a predicted model, not a curated record. Lineage: Eukaryota; Metazoa; Chordata; Mammalia; Chiroptera; Phyllostomidae.
GUGCUUGCUUUGGCAGCACAUAUACUAAAACUGGAACUAUACAGAGAUUAGCAUGGCCCCUGAGCAAGGAUGACAGGCAACUUUGUGAAGUGUUCCAUAUUUUA